This 833-nucleotide ribosomal RNA is filed under the name Micrococcus sp. AKB-2008-RA1. Its description in RNAcentral is "bacterial SSU rRNA". It matches the Rfam family "Bacterial small subunit ribosomal RNA", at positions 27 to 871 of the family's 1533-position model. Lineage: Bacteria; Bacillati; Actinomycetota; Actinomycetes; Micrococcales; Micrococcaceae. The record is from RNAcentral.
GGAUGAACGCUGGCGGCGUGCUUAACACAUGCAAGUCGAACGAUGAAGCCCAGCUUGCUGGGUGGAUUAGUGGCGAACGGGUGAGUAACACGUGAGUAACCUGCCCUUAACUCUGGGAUAAGCCUGGGAAACUGGGUCUAAUACCGGAUAGGAGCGUCCACCGCAUGGUGGGUGUUGGAAAGAUUUAUCGGUUUUGGAUGGACUCGCGGCCUAUCAGCUUGUUGGUGAGGUAAUGGCUCACCAAGGCGACGACGGGUAGCCGGCCUGAGAGGGUGACCGGCCACACUGGGACUGAGACACGGCCCAGACUCCUACGGGAGGCAGCAGUGGGGAAUAUUGCACAAUGGGCGAAAGCCUGAUGCAGCGACGCCGCGUGAGGGAUGACGGCCUUCGGGUUGUAAACCUCUUUCAGUAGGGAAGAAGCGAAAGUGACGGUACCUGCAGAAGAAGCACCGGCUAACUACGUGCCAGCAGCCGCGGUAAUACGUAGGGUGCGAGCGUUAUCCGGAAUUAUUGGGCGUAAAGAGCUCGUAGGCGGUUUGUCGCGUCUGUCGUGAAAGUCCGGGGCUUAACCCCGGAUCUGCGGUGGGUACGGGCAGACUAGAGUGCAGUAGGGGAGACUGGAAUUCCUGGUGUAGCGGUGGAAUGCGCAGAUAUCAGGAGGAACACCGAUGGCGAAGGCAGGUCUCUGGGCUGUAACUGACGCUGAGGAGCGAAAGCAUGGGGAGCGAACAGGAUUAGAUACCCUGGUAGUCCAUGCCGUAAACGUUGGGCACUAGGUGUGGGGACCAUUCCACGGUUUCCGCGCCGCAGCUAACGCAUUAAGUGCCCCG